UUAAAGUUUUAUUUAAGCUUAGGAUUUUAGUUUAUUUUUUUUUUACAUGUGGAUGUUUAAUUUUAUUUAAAUAAUUUAUUUUGCAGUAUUUAGUAUUAAAGAUUUAGUUAUUUAAGAUUUAGAAAUAAGUGAGAAGUAUUAAUUUAAUUUGUGCCAGCAAUUGCGGUUAUACAAAUAAUAUAAUUAAAAUUUUUUGGUUAACAGUUUAUUGUUAAUUGUUGUUAUUGGUUUAUUAUUAAUUUUAUUGGGUGAAAUUUUAAUUUUAGUAUAAGUCGGUUUAUAAUUUUUGAAGCUGUAAAAAUUUAAUUUUAGACUAGGAUUAGAUACCCUAUUAUUUUAAUUGUAAUAAAUAUUACCUGAUUAUUAAUAGUUUAUUUUCUUGAAAAUUAAAGAUUUUGGCGGUAUUUUAGUCCAUUCAGAGGAACCUGUCCUAUAAUCGAUAGUCCACGAUUUACUUUACUUUUAUUUUUAGUUUGUAUAUCGUCGUUAUUGAACAUUUUAUUAGAAUUUUAAUGGUCAAUUUUUAAUUUAAUAGUUAAUGUCAGAUCAAGGUGCAGUUUAUAUAAAAGAAGAGAUGGGUUACAAUAAAUUUAUUUCUGGGUUAUUAAUUUUAAUAUUGAUAGUAAAUUGGAUUUGAUAGUAAUUUUUAUAAAUUUUUAAUUGUGAUUAUUGGCUCUAAAAUAUGCACAUAUUGCCCGUCGCUCUCAUUAAGGUGAGAUAAGUCGUAACAUAGUAGGUGUACUGGAAAGUGUCCCUAGAAAGAU
RNAcentral lists this non-coding RNA (764 nucleotides) under Athous haemorrhoidalis. Lineage: Eukaryota; Metazoa; Arthropoda; Insecta; Coleoptera; Elateridae. The record is from RNAcentral.